This is a long non-coding RNA of Paramacrobiotus metropolitanus, 769 nucleotides long. RefSeq lists it as uncharacterized. The transcript is spliced from 2 exons. NCBI's taxonomy places the organism in Eukaryota, Metazoa, Tardigrada, Eutardigrada, Parachela, Macrobiotidae. The record is from RefSeq and is a predicted model, not a curated record.
UUAUUUUAUCAAUCGUGAAAACAGCAACAGAUGCGGCUGGUGCUCGAUCUAGUGCACCAAUAUAAAUAUCUUCUAUCACAAACCGAUAUGCUUAAUUGCCACUAUAAAGCAACUCUUGCUCAGCUGCACUAACAAUUUAUUGAUAUUCAAGUUGAUAUUAUUAUUUAUAUAUUAUAUUAUUGUUACUCUAAUUUUGUUUUACUAAGAUCGUGUAGUAUAAUUAUUUUCAAGAUUUUCAAUAUGAAGACAACACUUUAUUUUAUUCUUUUAUGCCUUAUUGCUCUGGCAUUGGUAAUCAACCUGACCAAUGGACAAUUCGAUCCGUGCAUCAUAUGUGACGGAGUCAUUUGUCCGGAUGGAAAGCCCUCUCGCUGCGUGUACGAAGCCUGCACAUGCAGUCGCACUUAAGCUUAUAAUAUGGCACAAAAGACAAACUGACCGGAAGCAGUUUCUUGUACAUACUACAGAUAUUCGACGCUUGCUUGCAGUUAUGAGAUGUUCAUUGGCAUAUAUAAAUGUCUCAUUGAGAACGGUUUUCAUUAAUGACACUGUUAAUAAACGCAUCCCCAUACCUGUAUGAAUGAUUGAUGUGUGCAAACUACCGAGACCAUUUUGGUUUUUAUUACUAUUUGUGUGCUGAUAUCUUGCGUCCUUAAUAAUUGUAAUAAGCGUGAUUGUAAAUCAUCGUUGUAUACGCCAAGCUGGUCGCGAGAAGCGGUACACUGAUUGUUCAACAGUUUAAUUGUCGUCAAUAAAAUCACAUGCUUUG